ACUGGGAUUAGAUACCCCACUAUGCUUGGCAGUAAACCUUAAAUUACACCUUAAUCGCCCGGGAACUACGAGCUAAGCUUAAAACCCAAAGGACUUGACGGUACCCCAAAUCCACCUAGAGGAGCCUGUCCUAUAAUCGAUAACCCCCGCUUUACCUCACCACUUUUGUUAAUCAGCCUGUAUACCUCCGUCGUCAGCUUACCCCGUGAGCGAAAACAGUGAGCUUAAUGCCAUUUCACCAAUACGUCAGGUCAAGGUGCAGCUUAUGAAGUGGAAAGAGAUGGGCUACACUCCCUAAUUUAGGAUACACRAUAAACUACUUAUGAAAUCUAGUCUUAAGGCGGAUUUAGAAGUAAAAAGGAAUUAGAGAGUCCUUUUUAACCUGGCACUGGGGUGUGUACACACCGCCCGUCACCCU
This 418-nucleotide ribosomal RNA is filed under the name Adenomera bokermanni. Its description in RNAcentral is "partial 12S ribosomal RNA". It matches the Rfam family "Bacterial small subunit ribosomal RNA", at positions 771 to 1403 of the family's 1533-position model. The record is from RNAcentral. Lineage: Eukaryota; Metazoa; Chordata; Amphibia; Anura; Leptodactylidae.